UUAAGCGACUAAGCGUACACGGUGGAUGCCCUGGCAGUCAGAGGCGAUGAAGGACGUGCUAAUCUGCGAUAAGCGUCGGUAAGGUGAUAUGAACCGUUAUAACCGGCGAUUUCCGAAUGGGGAAACCCAGUGUGUUUCGACACACUAUCAUUAACUGAAUCCAUAGGUUAAUGAGGCGAACCGGGGGAACUGAAACAUCUAAGUACCCCGAGGAAAAGAAAUCAACCGAGAUUCCCCCAGUAGCGGCGAGCGAACGGGGAGGAGCCCAGAGCCUGAAUCAGUGUGUGUGUUAGUGGAAGCGUCUGGAAAGGCGCGCGAUACAGGGUGACAGCCCCGUACACAAAAAUGCACAUACUGUGAGCUCGAUGAGUAGGGCGGGACACGUGGUAUCCUGUCUGAAUAUGGGGGGACCAUCCUCCAAGGCUAAAUACUCCUGACUGACCGAUAGUGAACCAGUACCGUGAGGGAAAGGCGAAAAGAACCCCGGCGAGGGGAGUGAAAAAGAACCUGAAACCGUGUACGUACAAGCAGUGGGAGCCUCUUUUAUGGGGUGACUGCGUACCUUUUGUAUAAUGGGUCAGCGACUUAUAUUCUGUAGCAAGGUUAACCGAAUAGGGGAGCCGAAGGGAAACCGAGUCUUAACUGGGCGUUAAGUUGCAGGGUAUAGACCCGAAACCCGGUGAUCUAGCCAUGGGCAGGUUGAAGGUUGGGUAACACUAACUGGAGGACCGAACCGACUAAUGUUGAAAAAUUAGCGGAUGACUUGUGGCUGGGGGUGAAAGGCCAAUCAAACCGGGAGAUAGCUGGUUCUCCCCGAAAGCUAUUUAGGUAGCGCCUCGUGAAUUCAUCUCCGGGGGUAGAGCACUGUUUCGGCAAGGGGGUCAUCCCGACUUACCAACCCGAUGCAAACUGCGAAUACCGGAGAAUGUUAUCACGGGAGACACACGGCGGGUGCUAACGUCCGUCGUGAAGAGGGAAACAACCCAGACCGCCAGCUAAGGUCCCAAAGUCAUGGUUAAGUGGGAAACGAUGUGGGAAGGCCCAGACAGCCAGGAUGUUGGCUUAGAAGCAGCCAUCAUUUAAAGAAAGCGUAAUAGCUCACUGGUCGAGUCGGCCUGCGCGGAAGAUGUAACGGGGCUAAACCAUGCACCGAAGCUGCGGCAGCGACGCUUAUGCGUUGUUGGGUAGGGGAGCGUUCUGUAAGCCUGUGAAGGUGUACUGUGAGGUAUGCUGGAGGUAUCAGAAGUGCGAAUGCUGACAUAAGUAACGAUAAAGCGGGUGAAAAGCCCGCUCGCCGGAAGACCAAGGGUUCCUGUCCAACGUUAAUCGGGGCAGGGUGAGUCGACCCCUAAGGCGAGGCCGAAAGGCGUAGUCGAUGGGAAACAGGUUAAUAUUCCUGUACUUGGUGUUACUGCGAAGGGGGGACGGAGAAGGCUAUGUUGGCCGGGCGACGGUUGUCCCGGUUUAAGCGUGUAGGCUGGUUUUCCAGGCAAAUCCGGAAAAUCAAGGCUGAGGCGUGAUGACGAGGCACUACGGUGCUGAAGC
Molecule: ribosomal RNA, 1545 nt
Filed under: Escherichia coli
Lineage: Bacteria; Pseudomonadati; Pseudomonadota; Gammaproteobacteria; Enterobacterales; Enterobacteriaceae
Description: partial 23S ribosomal RNA
Rfam family: Bacterial large subunit ribosomal RNA
Source: RNAcentral